UGAACGCUGGCGGCGUGCCUAAUACAUGCAAGUCGAGCGAACGGACGAGAGGCUUGCUUCUCUGAUGUUAGCGGCGGACGGGUGAGUAACACGUGGAUAACCUACCUAUAAGACUGGGAUAACUUCGGGAAACCGGAGCUAAUACCGGAUAAUAUUUUGAACCGCAUGGUUCAAAAGUGAAAGACGGUCUUGCUGUCACUUAUAGAUGGAUCCGCGCUGCAUUAGCUAGUUGGUAAGGUAACGGCUUACCAAGGCAACGAUGCAUAGCCGACCUGAGAGGGUGAUCGGCCACACUGGAACUGAGACACGGUCCAGACUCCUACGGGAGGCAGCAGUAGGGAAUCUUCCGCAAAGGGCGAAAGCCUGACGGAGCAACGCCGCGUGAGUGAUGAAGGUCUUCGGAUCGUAAAACUCUGUUAUUAGGGAAGAACAUAUGUGUAAGUAACUGUGCACAUCUUGACGGUACCUAAUCAGAAAGCCACGGCUAACUACGUG
Molecule: ribosomal RNA, 495 nt
Filed under: uncultured bacterium
Lineage: Bacteria
Description: partial 16S ribosomal RNA
Rfam family: Bacterial small subunit ribosomal RNA
Source: RNAcentral